UACAGAGGGUGCAAGCGUUGUUCGGAAUUAUUGGGCGUAAAGCGCGUGUAGGCGGCUUUGCAAGUCGGGUGUGAAAGCCCUCAGCUCAACUGAGGAAGUGCGCCCGAAACUGCAGAGCUUGAGUACUGGAGAGGAUGGCGGAAUUCCCCAAGUAGAGGUGAAAUUCGUAGAUAUGGGGAGGAACACCGGUGGCGAAGGCGGCCAUCUGGACGGAUACUGACGCUGAGACGCGAAAGCGUGGGUAGCAAACAGG
RNAcentral lists this ribosomal RNA (253 nucleotides) under uncultured bacterium. RNAcentral's name for it is "partial 16S ribosomal RNA". It matches the Rfam family "Bacterial small subunit ribosomal RNA", at positions 524 to 776 of the family's 1533-position model. The record is from RNAcentral.